This 100-nucleotide ribosomal RNA is filed under the name Salvator merianae (Argentine black and white tegu). Lineage: Eukaryota; Metazoa; Chordata; Lepidosauria; Squamata; Teiidae. The record is from RNAcentral.
AAUUUCAACAUUAAGGCCUCCCCAUUGCUGGGCUAUGCCUUUUGAAGCAGGGUUAGUACUUAGAUGGAGAACCACUUGGAAAUACCAGGUGCUGUAAGUU